This 239-nucleotide long non-coding RNA is filed under the name Homo sapiens (human). RNAcentral describes it as "non-protein coding lnc-PPP4R3A-3:1". Lineage: Eukaryota; Metazoa; Chordata; Mammalia; Primates; Hominidae. The record is from RNAcentral.
UGCCAGUGCGUAGUGUGCAGCACAAUAGUGAAGGUCAUAGUUUUUCCACCUGAGAAUUUUUGGUUUAUUAUUUUUAAGAGAUGGGGUGAUGAUUAUGAUGAAGAAGGUGAAGAAGCAGAUGAGGAAGGGGAAGAAGGAGGAGAUGAGGAAAAUGAUCCAGACUAUGACCCAAAGAAGGAUCAAAACCCAACAGAGUGCAAGCAGCAGUGAAGCAGGAUGGUCUACCUUCCGCUUCCCUG